GAUGAACGCUGGCGGCGUGCCUAAUACAUGCAAGUCGAGCGAACAGACGAGGAGCUUGCUCCUCUGACGUUAGCGGCGGACGGGUGAGUAACACGUGGAUAACCUACCUAUAAGACUGGGAUAACUUCGGGAAACCGGAGCUAAUACCGGAUAAUAUAUUGAACCGCAUGGUUCAAUAGUUAAAGACGGUUUUGCUGUCUCUUAUAGAUGGAUCCGCGCCGCAUUAGCUAGUUGGUAAGGUAACGGCUUACCAAGGCAACGAUGCGUAGCCGACCUGAGAGGGUGAUCGGCCACACUGGAACUGAGACACGGUACAGACUACUACGGGAGGAAGCAGUAGGGAAUAUUCCGCAAUGGGCGAAAGCAUGACGGAGCAAAGCCGAGUGAGUGAUGAAGGUCUUCGGAUCGUAAAACUCUGUUAUUAGGGAAGAACAAAUGUGUAAGUAACUAUGCACGUCUUGACGGUACCUAAUCAGAAAGCAACGGCUAACUACGUG
Molecule: ribosomal RNA, 497 nt
Filed under: uncultured bacterium
Lineage: Bacteria
Description: partial 16S ribosomal RNA
Rfam family: Bacterial small subunit ribosomal RNA
Source: RNAcentral